Molecule: long non-coding RNA, 1686 nt
Filed under: Marmota monax (woodchuck)
Lineage: Eukaryota; Metazoa; Chordata; Mammalia; Rodentia; Sciuridae
Source: RNAcentral
GCUGGGCAUGGUGGCACAAGUCUAUAAUCCCAGUGAUUGGGAGGUUGAGGCAGGAGGAUUGCGAACUCAAAGCCAGCCUCAGCAACAGCAAGGUGCUAAGCAACUCAGUGAGAUCCUGUCUCUAAAUAAAAUACAAAAAAAAGGAAGGGGAUGUGGCUCAGUGGUCAAGUGUCCCUGAGUUCAAUCCCCACAUACCAAAAAAGAAAAGAAAAUGUAAAUGCAUAGAUGGUGACACAUCAAAUUAGUGGUUGACAGGGGCCGUAGAAUAGGAGGGAAGAGUUUCAAUGGGGUACUAGGCAUCUUUUGAGAGUCAUAGAUAUAUUCAUUAUCUUGAAUAUGUGAUGGUUUCACUGGUAUGUUGUGUUCAUACUUAUUAAAUUCCACGUAUCAAAUAUAUACACCUUAUUAUAUGUCAAUUAUAGUUCAAUAAUCUUUUUAAAAUUUAAAAUGUAGCAAGAUAAAUAUGUAAUAGUCCCAUCAUCCAGCUUCAAUUAUUUUCAGCAUUCCGCUCUUCUCUUUCAAGGAUUUUGCUCUCAAGGGGAGCAGGGAAAUGGUCUGUGCUUAGAAAAAUCUGACAUCACACAAGAAUUUUUAAUUUUUACUAAGGUGGGACUUGCUACAGUGUGCUCAUAUGUAGAUGAGGGGAGAGGACAAACUGACACAAGAGUAAGAAGAAAUGACUAAGAGUCCUUGAGUGGCAGGAGAGUCUGGCUGGUGUUAUGUGUGCAAGGGAGGGAUGAGCCGAGGAGAAGAGAAUAGUUCAUUUAUAACAGAAGGGAAGACAAAGACAUGAAUAGGUUCACUUAAUAGGUCACACUGACUCUUUGUUACUGAUGAUGAUAAUAUCAGUAAUUGAAAUGAGAAUAGUUAAUAGGCCUUUGUAUUCAUUAAUAAGAUGAGUCACACAAAUUUAGCAGUGCUUGAGUUUCUUGGAUGAAGUUUUCAACAAAGUCAUCAAUAAGUAUGUUAUAGGUACAGAUUUCUCUGUAUUUUCAGCAAAGAAAAGACAAUGGCCCUAAUCCCAACUCUCAUUUGGUCUGAAUUGGAGUAAUCAAUUACGCUAGAUGUUGGAAAUUCCUGUCUAUAUAUUCAGUGUAAAAAUUAAAUUGCCAUCCAAUGUUUUUUCAGUGUUGUGAUAUUUUACAAGUAAUUACUUUUGUUUCCUGUUUCCUGACACCUUGUUAAUACCAUCAUCAUCACUUUCACCACCACUAUCUUACACAACAAAGGUAACAACAAUUACCAUUUAUUAAGUGUUGCUAGGCGUCACUAUCUCCAUCUUCAUAACAGACCUGUAAGGUAGAUGGUAAGAUUAGCCCCUGUUGACAGUUGUGGAAAAUUAGGCAUCAGAGUUAGGCUAUUAUGCCAAUGUCACACCUCAGAAGUAUGAGAGCUAGAAUGAAAAUCCAAGUCCACGUGACUCUAAAGUUCUUGCUCUGAAGAAUUAUUAGGCUCUAUCAUUGCUCCUUAUAAAUGAGAAGUUUUACUGGCAAGAGUAGAUAUAUUCAUAUUUCUCUCCAAUUCUAAUUUAUUGUAAAGAUCACAUUUUGACAAUGAUAAAAGAACUCAGAAGAAUGAAAAUAAUUAAUAGUUCUGACAUCCUGUUGCAACAACUGUUUUCAUUUUUCUCCAUUUCCUUUUGAUCCUUAUCCAUAUGUACAUAUUUUGCAUAGCUGUAGAUGCGAU